RNAcentral lists this ribosomal RNA (732 nucleotides) under Triticum aestivum (bread wheat). Its description in RNAcentral is "partial small subunit ribosomal RNA". Lineage: Eukaryota; Viridiplantae; Streptophyta; Magnoliopsida; Poales; Poaceae. The record is from RNAcentral.
AUGGGGAUCUAUGUGGAAAGUUUGGUAGACACGUCCACCACCGUGUUUAACAAUCUGAAAUCGCUCAAACAUUUGCGAAUAUUUGGCAACUACUACAGGGCAGAAACCUGCUCCGUAAUUACUACAUUGUGGGAUGAGAAUGGGAGCACUGUACUUCCUUCAUCUCUUCGAUUCCUUGUGUUAAAAGGGUGCUACCUGCAACCAUCCUGUUUCAACAAGUUACUGAAGAAUCUCUCAUCGCUUGGUGCACUACACUUAAGCGAAUGUGACACUGUUGAGAUACCAGGUGUACCGGUAAGCCUGCACCACUUGACGAUGCUGAAACAGUUGGACAUUGAUAAAUGUGAUUGGAUAUCAUCCAUUGAGGGAGCAGAAGCACUGUUGUCCCUUGAAGAGAUGACAAUUAAACAAUGUUAUGCUCUGGAAUCUGUACCGUACUUAGAUGACAUGCCAUCUCUUCAAAAGCUACAUUUAUCCGAGUGCCCUCAAGUUAUGCGACUGUCUAAAGCAGGCCAUCAGACAGCCCUGAAGGAGCUGAUUGUAAGAUUUUGUGAUAGGCUAUCAUCUCUCCGGCAGUUGUGUGACCUUGUUUCGCUUGUGAGGCUGACGAUUAGUGGUUGUUCUAAUUUAUUGUGGCUUCCAGAUAUGGAUGGUUUUUAUUCUCUUCGGGUUCUCUCAAUUGAUCGGUGCCCCUGGCUGAUGUCACUGCCACGGAGUGGUCUUCCUGUAUGA